RNAcentral lists this unclassified non-coding RNA (352 nucleotides) under soil metagenome. Its description in RNAcentral is "partial contains 5.8S ribosomal RNA, internal transcribed spacer 2, and large subunit ribosomal RNA". The stretch from base 1 to 120 matches the Rfam family "5.8S ribosomal RNA", at positions 35 to 154 of the family's 154-position model. The record is from RNAcentral.
GAUGAAGAACGUAGCGAAAUGCGAUAAGUAAUGUGAAUUGCAGAAUUCAGUGAAUCAUCGAAUCUUUGAACGCACAUUGCGCCCGCCAGUAUUCUGGCGGGCAUGCCUGUUCGAGCGUCAUUACAACCCUCAGGCCCCCGGGCCUGGCGUUGGGGAUCGGCGGAAGCCCCCUGUGGGCACACGCCGUCCCUCAAAUACAGUGGCGGUCCCGCCGCAGCUUCCAUUGCGUAGUAGCUAACACCUCGCAACUGGAGAGCGGCGCGGCCAUGCCGUAAAACACCCAACUUCUGAGUGUUGACCUCGAAUCAGGUAGGAAUACCCGCUGAACUUAAGCAUAUCAAUAAGCGGAGGA